GCUAAUUUAGGUUUUUUUCAUUGCAGAUUAAGCAAAGAAGAGAAGCGAUUGAUGAAGGAAGAAGAAAAGAGACAAAGAGAGUUGAAGAAACUAGAGCAGCAGAAAGAAAGAGAGAGAAAGAAGAAAGAGGAACUGAAAACAAAAAUAGACAAAAAUCAAUGAAGCAUUUCAAAGAUUAUAAAUUACCUGAUAUCAUCAAACCGUUGUUUGGUGUAGAGGCAACAGAGGAUCGCAAAGGAAACAAAGAUCAUUUGACAGUUACUAAAGGAGAGAAACUAUCAGUUUUACAAAUUGCUCAUCCUAAGCAAGAUUGAUUUAUGACUUAUUGAUGGGAUUUCUUUUGUUCGUUUGUAUUAGAUUUUUAUUUCUUUACUAAUAAUUUAAAAGUUUUUGAUACUAGAUAAA
This is a long non-coding RNA of Amphimedon queenslandica, 405 nucleotides long. RefSeq lists it as uncharacterized. Lineage: Eukaryota; Metazoa; Porifera; Demospongiae; Haplosclerida; Niphatidae. The transcript has 2 exons. The record is from RefSeq and is a predicted model, not a curated record.